Long non-coding RNA from Canis lupus familiaris (dog), 581 nucleotides. RefSeq lists it as uncharacterized. NCBI's taxonomy places the organism in Eukaryota, Metazoa, Chordata, Mammalia, Carnivora, Canidae. The record is from RefSeq and is a predicted model, not a curated record. The transcript has 4 exons.
UGCUUCUGGCAAUAUGUCUAGUAAUGCUACAGCCAUGGCCAAAGAAGUGAUUGUCUGUGUUCUCUUCUAGGAUUUUGAUGGUUUUCUAUCUCACAUUCAGGGAGCAGGAAGAGACAGAGAGAGAGAGAGAAUCUCAAGCAUGCUCCCUGCCGAGUGCAGAGCCUUAUGCAAGGCUCAUCUCAAGAUCCUGCCUGAGAUGAUGACCAGAGCUGAAAUCAAGAGUCAGAUGUGAAACUGACCCAGGUCAAAAGUAGCCAAAUGCUAUGGUGCAAUGUCUAGGUCAUUAACUCCACUUCAUUUCACCAUGAAGGCAUUUUAUCAUCUCCCAUCACCACAAGAAGGGUCUUUAUAGUGUGAUCACAAUGGGAGACAAUGAGACCUUUCAGGUUGAAUCCAGCACGGGAAGAAAACCACACACCUACUACCAUGUUUGACUCUAAAGAUGUAAUAUUAGGUUUCAAUAGGGCCUAAUGGGGAUCCCUGGGUGGCGCAGCGGUUUGGCGCCUGCCUUUGGCCCAGGGCGCGAUCCUGGAGACCCGGGAUCGAAUCCCACAUCGGGCUCCCGGUGCAUGGAGCCUGCU